RNAcentral lists this transfer RNA (71 nucleotides) under Camelus bactrianus (Bactrian camel). It matches the Rfam family "tRNA". Rfam says of the family: Transfer RNA (tRNA) molecules are approximately 80 nucleotides in length. The record is from Rfam by way of RNAcentral. RNAcentral also lists the same sequence under 2 other names. Lineage: Eukaryota; Metazoa; Chordata; Mammalia; Artiodactyla; Camelidae.
GAGGGUAUAGUUCAGUGGUAGAGGCGUGCUUAGCAUGCACAAGGUCCUGGGUUCGAUCCCCAGUGCCUCCA